Molecule: long non-coding RNA, 2403 nt
Organism: Gallus gallus (chicken)
Lineage: Eukaryota; Metazoa; Chordata; Aves; Galliformes; Phasianidae
Source: Ensembl
GAGGAGACAACUCCUAAUAUUCACUGAGUCUAUCAGCAAGAACAUAAACUACCAAAAGCUCCAGAAUCUGGUUUUGGACUCUCAGCUUGGCAUUAACUCCCAGCUCAAGCUCAGGACUGGGGACCAAAUAUAUCAACUCAGUGUCAGCAUUAGUUGGAGACUUGAUUUUACUAAUGACCCAAAGGGGACACAGACCUCUAUAAACAUACAUCUCUGAUGCUGAGCGUGUGGUGUACGUGCACAGCUGUACGAGCAAUGGGGAGUGCAUGGCUGCAAAACUGCAUUCUGCUCUCAGGGCUUGUCCUUCCUUGGAUGAGGUCCGAAGAUGGGAUGACAACAAGUGGGCUGCUGUUACCCAUAUCCACAUCCCAGCUGCCAGCACUCCAUGCCCUUUGCUGCUUGUGCAAAGGAUCUGCUAGCAGAGCAGCGAGCCCAGUGUGCCAUGCACAGCCAGGAGCCAAGAGGCUGCCUGCAGGAAUACACAUCCCGUUGGUCCAGAAGCCAUCUUUGUGUGCUUUCUUCUAUUAGCAAUUCCUCCUCCCUGUCCUCUCAUCUCAGCAGCUGACGUUUCCUAGGAAAGCUGACUUUGAACAUCACCGAUACCUAUAAGCAAGAGGAAGGGCAGCAGCAAUGCAGAAGAAAAUUGGGUCAUUUGAAUGCCCUGAUGAAAACCAACAGGGACAGCGCACGGAGUGACACGGGCUGCCUGUGAAUCCAGGACACUGCGUCCUGCUCUGCCUUUGCACACGGCCGUCCUUCUACCAGGGAAGGCUGGAGGAGAGAGGGCUCAAUCAAGUUACUGAAUAACUGAGAAAAUUUGGCUGGUUUCAGAGGUUCUGUGGCUGAAAUGGAGUGUCAUUAGGAUUUGAAAUGUUCUGGUAAAAUGGCUGUUAUCAGAAUUUAUCAUUUGUUGCCCUGCUUGGGAGUUAGGCCUGUGCACUGCCCUCAGGUUGUUGUUAUUUAAGAAGAUGACCCAUGAGAAGUUUAUUUAAGGACACAGAGGGUGGGACAGGCAGAGUGAAGAGCAGGAGGAGAUGCUUCCAUGGCUGUCACAGGGCUGCAGCCCCCGGUGUUCAUCCAGCCCAGUCCUGAAGACAUCAAAUGCAUUGCACAGGGAGUGUUAUGUACUCUCUGCGGCUCAGCAUAGGAUAUCGUGCACGUUUUUACAACAGGAGCAGCAUCAGCAAACCACAAAUGACUCUGGGGGCCGGCUGCUGGCAGGGGCACCUUUGAGAGCAUUUUGCAGUGCCACCAUUUCAGCUCUGGAAGUGGUGCUGCAGAAUGCCUCCACCGCACAACUGGAGCAGAGUGAAUUAUUUACAACAAAUGAGGCAUCUGACAAAUCUGGCCUCGUUCUUUGCUUGCAGAAUGCCCUCCAGCAGACCGCUGCUUCCUCAAAAAGAAGUCCCUCUUCAGUCAGCUUCCAGAAUCCACCCCAGCCCCUCUGCUGCACUCAGGCCAGGCGGUGGGUCUGGCAAUGCACAGUGCAUGCAAAGCUCCUUCCUGCACAACUCAGUACGCUUCAUCUGGUGUGCAACCACUUGCACAUAACAAGGCAGAGCUCACUUUCCCUGUGUAAUUAGUCUGGAAUCUGGUACCAAUAUCUUAAUUAGGCCUGACCUCUGGAGUAUUUGACAUAACAUCGUUUGCCAACUCCGAAAUAUGGCUACAUCCACAGUGCAAAUAACGGUCCUCCCAGCAGCUGUGGGCUCUGUAUUUGACUUGUGUCAAUGCUGCUCUGCUAUAGCAGCUGAUGCAAACAUCCCUGGGAUGCUCCUGCAGACCCAACUGCAGCUCCCCCCCCGCCCCUCCUCACCUCUCUACCUCAAGUACGCCCUGCCAGGGCCAAAGCUGCGGUUUCACUCACUUAAGAUAACCUAAUUAGUUAAAUUAGGCUGAAGGCAGCAGUGUGUGACUCACUCUGGGCUGGUCACCUAAUUUUGUUGCCAGCAGUUUUCAAGGGAAACUCCCCCAGUCCGUGCUCCUGCCAGCCUGGAUGCAUCUGCAGGGCUGCAGCCACACCUUGGUCUCUCAGAAAGGACCAAAAGCAGCAGCAGAGGAACGGCCCGGAUCAUAUGUGUGGGUCACACAAAACAUUGUCACAUUCAGAGGCACAAAGCACUCCGUCAGAGAGCGGCAGUGAGCACUGCAUGCAGGGCAGUACUGCUGAGCAGUGUGCAGGGCUGCUCCCUGAAGCACAGUGUGAUUUUCCUCCAAGAAAAGCAUCCCAUACAUUAUGCAAACCAUUUGCUGGUGGUUGUUUUCUUGUGUUGUUGUUGUUGUUUUUUUUCUAAUACUACAGAGUAGGAAGAAUGAAAGAAUGAAACAUGUCAGAUGUCCAUCACGACACAAAGCACUGCUGGAAGGAAUACGGAUAACACAGCAAGGAAAGUAAUAUAGAAG